AAAAAAACUCGAAUCAUACCGGAUUUAACAUACAAUCAAACCGGAAAUAAUUUAAUUGAGGGCUAGCUAAUAAAUCUCAUAUAACAAAAAAA
RNAcentral lists this small RNA (92 nucleotides) under Arabidopsis thaliana (thale cress). Its description in RNAcentral is "ATSL263510". Lineage: Eukaryota; Viridiplantae; Streptophyta; Magnoliopsida; Brassicales; Brassicaceae. The record is from RNAcentral.